ACCCACCUCUGUAGUAUACA
This 20-nucleotide microRNA is filed under the name Ciona intestinalis (vase tunicate). Its description in RNAcentral is "cin-miR-4163-3p". The record is from miRBase by way of RNAcentral. Lineage: Eukaryota; Metazoa; Chordata; Ascidiacea; Phlebobranchia; Cionidae.